AAAUUAUUAAAAUGAAGGAAAUCUUCAGAGUUUGAACACCCAGUCUCAUCUAUUACGAGAAAAUGAAUUUAAAAAUUAUAAUUUUAUUUAAAAUAUUUUGAAAAAUUUUCAUGGGUCUAACAAUAAUUAAUGAAUUAUAUAAUAAAAGGUAGUACCUUUCUUUAUUUUUCUAGUAAUAAAAUUCUGUAGAUUUAUCAAAAUAAAAAUCAAUUAAACUACUCUAAUACUGGGUCAUUUGUUU
This 241-nucleotide unclassified non-coding RNA is filed under the name Hevea brasiliensis (rubber tree). The record is from RNAcentral. Lineage: Eukaryota; Viridiplantae; Streptophyta; Magnoliopsida; Malpighiales; Euphorbiaceae.